GUUUGUGUUGCAAGAUAGAGAGGCCUGGCACCAGCCAUUGGAUCUAACCUGUCAACAAUGAGCGACGAGGAAGAAAAAGAGAGAGGACGGGAGUGAGGAAGAAGGCAGGAGUUGUGGGAGGAGGGAGAGGAUGCGAGAGAGGGUGACAGCCAAGUGGAGAGGAGACGGAUGGGAGCAAAGUGAAAGCUGAAGACAUCCACCACUGAUUGCAUCAACAGGUCUGAGCCCCUCCAGUGUGUUUUCGACUCGGGGAACAAAGGUGUCUGCGACUGAGAGAUGAAAACUGCGACAACUGAUGAAGAUGACCUGUCAAACUCGCAAUCAGCGGAAAGCAACGUGCACGGACGGAUUGGAGAGAAAGAGUGGAGAUGGAAAGACGGCGUUUAGGAAGAAAAGGAGGGAGUUUACGCCCACCGCCUAAAGAGAUGAGAAGACAGGCAGAGGAGGGGAGAAUUUGUGGAGGAAGCAGAGUGUGUGUGAGUGCCAGAGCUCAUCAGCCUGUCAAACAUCCGUUAUAGACCACAAACCCACACAGCCACUGCACUGCUGAGGUCUAUCACUAAACAGGUGCACUUCCUUCACCUUCACACACACUUUCUGAUGCACUCUGAUCCAGCGUGCAUCUUCCCAGUGUGUUUGUGUGUGUGUGUAGGUGGCCACAUUUACGCACACCAAGUUUGUCCACAGGGCACAAAGCCGCCUUGGCUUAUUUCCAUGUAGCGGAAGGUGAUCCACACUGAGUCACUGUCAUUGAUCAGAAAAUAAAACCAGUCGGGUGGAUUCUUCAUAGCGAGAUGCUUCCUUCACAGCUCUCCUGAGCACCUAAACUGUUUUAGCACAAUCUGCACUCUCAGUCCAACCCACGUUUGAACCCGUAUUAUUCCUCACUGUGCUCGGAGUUUUGUAAUUCUGACUGCUGACGCACUGCAUCUAAAUUCAUCAUCCACUUUACCCGAGGGUGUUACAGCAGGGUUUUGUUUGUCUGUUUGUUUCUUUUAAUGCCUCAGAUACCCCACUCCCUCCACCCCAGAUAUAGGUGUAGUUUGAACCAGAGGACAUUGCAUAAAGUUGAGGUUAAUGCUUUUGUUGUGGGUGGGAAACAAAGCAGUGUGUGAUAUCUCUAAUUAGAAGUGUGAGUCAUUGUGUGAAAUCAGUGAAUUGUACGUUCGAAACCUUCACAAAUCCUGCACCUCAGAAUGCAAACUGUACUCCUGACGCUUUUGGUUUCGUUAACAGUUUCUCCAUCUUCACAUAUAUUUGCACCCGAAUUAGCCGUUUGCGAGGCUUAAACGUCUGUGACAUCUGCCUGCAUCCUACCAAUGAGAAUGAUGAUAUCUGUGUUACUAAUGUGAUCCUUGUUGUGAUGCAGAAUUGUGACUCCGGGUAGAUUAUAUGCUAUUUUAAGACGUAACCUUUCCUCACCUUUUUAACACAGAAAAUGAGUUUCUAUGGGGAUACUGGUGUAUAAGAAUGUUAAUUAGUGGAACUCAUGCACAUUUAUAUUUGUGGCGUAAAAUAUGAACAUGUUGGGCCACUUGUAUGUUUAUAAUCACUAGAAUAUUGUCACAUUUUUGGGGAUAUUUCAGUAAUAUAGAGGUCCACAGUCACUCUAAGCUCUAAUUGGAAGCAACCAAUAAACAGUACAUACCCUAGAAUUGAUCCUGGUUAUGUCUUAUAAUAAAACAGCAAGUGGGAAUGUAAAGAAGACAUUAUUAGCAGCUGAAUAC
Long non-coding RNA from Amphiprion ocellaris (clown anemonefish), 1727 nucleotides. The record is from Ensembl. NCBI's taxonomy places the organism in Eukaryota, Metazoa, Chordata, Actinopteri, Pomacentridae.